Vulpes vulpes (red fox) is the source of this 107-nucleotide small nuclear RNA. NCBI's taxonomy places the organism in Eukaryota, Metazoa, Chordata, Mammalia, Carnivora, Canidae. The record is from Ensembl.
UAUACAUGCUCAAGUAUCAUCAUUCUAAAAUUGUAACAAAACAGAGAAGAUUGGCUGGUCCCGCACCUAAGGACUGUGUGGACAUUUGUGAAGCAUCCCAAUGUGUU